RNAcentral lists this ribosomal RNA (333 nucleotides) under Triticum aestivum (bread wheat). RNAcentral describes it as "partial small subunit ribosomal RNA". Lineage: Eukaryota; Viridiplantae; Streptophyta; Magnoliopsida; Poales; Poaceae. The record is from RNAcentral.
AUGGUUGCUGCUGGACUCUACCCCUCCAAGUUGCCCGGACGCCUCCCCAACUCUCCCUCCUCCCCAACAAGGCCGCUGCCGUCCUGGCGGCGUGCCUCGGCCCCGCGGCGGCGGACCAGCCCGGAUCCGUCGAGGGAUACACCAUCGCCGGCCGCCGCUCAUUCGUGCCUUCCUGUUACUGAGGUUGGGGAGCAGGAUCUGGCGCUGGGGUUCAAGGUCAACGCCAAGGGCACUGCUGCUGCACGCCUUCAUCAGCGUCUUCUCCUGGCACAACGAGACCAUCAACAUCUGGACGCACCUGCUCGGCUUCUUCUUGUUCUCGGGAAUUUUUAG